GUGGAGCUAUAGCUCAGUGGUAGAGCGCUUGCUUUGCAUGUUUGAGGCACUGGGUUUGAUCCUCAAUACCACA
This 73-nucleotide transfer RNA is filed under the name Marmota monax (woodchuck). Its description in RNAcentral is "tRNA.Ala". The record is from RNAcentral. Lineage: Eukaryota; Metazoa; Chordata; Mammalia; Rodentia; Sciuridae.